Non-coding RNA from Tursiops truncatus (common bottlenose dolphin), 93 nucleotides. NCBI's taxonomy places the organism in Eukaryota, Metazoa, Chordata, Mammalia, Artiodactyla, Delphinidae. The record is from Rfam.
ACAGCAUACAGAAUGGAUCUUGGAGGAAGGGGUCCCUGCUGGGCCUUCAAGGAAACCACGUGUAGACAUGAACAACCUUCAAUCUCCUGACCU